This is a long non-coding RNA of Diceros bicornis minor, 1058 nucleotides long. RefSeq lists it as uncharacterized. The record is from RefSeq and is a predicted model, not a curated record. The transcript is spliced from 3 exons. Lineage: Eukaryota; Metazoa; Chordata; Mammalia; Perissodactyla; Rhinocerotidae.
UACAGGGACAUUGAGAGGAAUUAAAUAAUACUAUUUGUGAACAAACACAUUAACGUUAAUUCCUCUACAGGUCAAACGAAAUGCUUAAAAUUACCAUCUGAACCAAAAUCUGUGAUACUUGCUUUGGAAGGAUUCUAGGUUCUUCCCAAGUGAAUCACACCUAAAAGACAAGCAAUGGAAGAGAAAGCUUGAGCACUAUUUAUGUUGGAACCUCACUCAUUUGUCGAUGGAGAUUGAAUUUCCUCUUUGAUCAAGAAAAUUUCGUGUAAAAAUUAAUGGAAUAUGAAAUAAACGCAAUGCAGAUGAGCAAAGACAACAAGAAGUGAAUUUGACCCCCCAAAAUUUCAGAUCAUACUUAAAGCAGCAAUUCACUAAAAGGAAGAGAUACAUUUUGAAUGGAAGUAAUGAGUAAACUCUUGGAUUGUUUAACAAUCCAAUUAAUGAAGAUGGGAAAAUCAUAUGAACAUACUGGAAAAGGAUUUAUAUUACUUUAUGAUUUGGCAUAAAAUGCUGGACAAAAAAAUAACUACAUAAAACUCAUGUAAGCUUUACAAUGAGGGCAUUGAUGACAAACGGGUUAAUGAGUAUCAUCAACUCAAAGAGAAUUUAAGGUUAGUCAUUGAACAAAAAAAAUUGAAAUGACCUGAAAUCUUGUAGUUUAUACAUGAAAGAAACUUGAUAGAGAUUUCCCCAAAUUUGACAACAAUCCUACAAAGUUACAUGACAAUACCAAUAUCACAUUUAACGCUGAAGGAAAAUUCCUAAAACAUCAUUAAUAAAAAACAAAUUUUGAUCAACCACGCUAGAAGAAAAACUGAAUUAUCUUUCCAUUUUCUCUAUGGAAAAUAAUACUAUAAAAUCAUUGUCAUAUGAAGAGGCAAUCAAAUAAUAUACAGCAAAAUAUUUCAGAGGAGUGUCAGGCAGUUAAUAAAAAUAUUAUUAUGUUAUUUUAUCAUGUUAUUUUUCUGUAUUUUCUAAUGUUUACAGAAUGUAUUUUCUUUAAAAAUUUUAAUUUAUCAUAAUUUCUUCUUUCAGUCUAAAUAAACAUUCUUGUUUAC